Molecule: transfer RNA, 69 nt
Filed under: Ramulus mikado
Lineage: Eukaryota; Metazoa; Arthropoda; Insecta; Phasmatodea; Phasmatidae
Also listed under: 2 other names
Description: tRNA-Gln
Source: RNAcentral
UAUAUUUUGUUGUAUGAUGCAUGGAAAUUUUUGAUAUUUUCGGUAAUAGUUUAAUUCUAUUAAAUAUAA